UACGAAGGGGGCGAGCGUUGUUCGGAUUUACUGGGCGUAAAGGGCGCGCAGGCGGCUAUCCAAGUCAGGCGUGAAAGCCCCGGGCUUAACCUGGGAGGUGCGUCUGGGACUGGGUGGCUAGAGUUCGGGAGAGGAGAGCGGAAUUCCCAGUGUAGAGGUGAAAUUCGUAGAUAUUGGGAAGAACACCGGUGGCGAAGGCGGCUCUCUGGACCGAGACUGACGCUGAGGCGCGAAAGCGUGGGGAGCAAACAGG
Molecule: ribosomal RNA, 253 nt
Filed under: uncultured bacterium
Lineage: Bacteria
Description: partial 16S ribosomal RNA
Rfam family: Bacterial small subunit ribosomal RNA
Source: RNAcentral